Small nucleolar RNA from Coregonus clupeaformis (lake whitefish), 241 nucleotides. RefSeq annotates it as small nucleolar RNA SNORA53. NCBI's taxonomy places the organism in Eukaryota, Metazoa, Chordata, Actinopteri, Salmoniformes, Salmonidae. The record is from RefSeq and is a predicted model, not a curated record. The transcript has a single exon.
AACACGCUCCUUAGAUCCUGAGUGCCUCUGGAGGGCACUCCUGUGCUGGGGCUGUUGUCUCUUGAGUGCUGCAGCUCCAGCUUGGAGGCCCUCAGCAGCUUUUUGGCUGUACAGUUGGAGGUGCUUGAGUCAUUGGCGUGUGAGAGCAGUCUACCUGCCUCCCAGCACCCCAGCUGCCCUGGCAACCCUCAGUCUACCAUAGUUUGUUCUCAUCUCCUUUACACUCUUGUGUGGGGAAAAA